UUAAAUUGAAGAGUUUGAUCAUGGCUCAGAUUGAACGCUGGCGGCAGGCCUAACACAUGCAAGUCGAACGGUAACAGGAAGUAGCUUGCUGCUUUGCUGACGAGUGGCGGACGGGUGAGUAAUGUCUGGGAA
Molecule: ribosomal RNA, 132 nt
Filed under: Salmonella enterica
Lineage: Bacteria; Pseudomonadati; Pseudomonadota; Gammaproteobacteria; Enterobacterales; Enterobacteriaceae
Description: partial 16S ribosomal RNA
Rfam family: Bacterial small subunit ribosomal RNA
Source: RNAcentral